AAUACAAGUAAAUACUUAAGUCCACCUUUUUGCCACUGUCAUAUGCAUGAAGUCAGUUUGUAAAUUUAACAUUGGACCUUCCACUGGAGGUAACUGUGGUAUGGUAGUAUUAACUCUUGCACAUGUUAAGCACCUGGAUAAAAUAUUGGUAACGGUCUGAUCUAACCUGUUAAUUACAAAUAGUUAAUUUAGCAUAGCCAAUACCCCUCUUCGUCCGACAUGUCCAUAGCCAUGGAACUGUCGGACGAGUAACACUGAAGAAGCUUGAGGGAUUGCUAUGCAACCUUUAGGCUCUUUGAGGAUACCAGAAUUUGCAUCAGGUGUAACAAAAUGUUUACUCUAGUAAGCUAAGUCAUCCGAAGAUGAUGCAGCCUGCAUAGAAAGAAUAUCAAUGUCAUCAGUAUGAGUGGCUAUAUGCAGUUAAGACCUGGUCACAAGAAACAGUACUGUAAUCUGGCCAUAAGGGAAAAGAGGCAGCCGCCCUUUUCGCCACCAAAUCUGCAAAAUCAUUACCAUCCUUGACCAUGGAGUGAUCUGUAUCAUAGCCCUUGCACUUCACAAUAGCUAAAGAUGUAGGUAACAGUAUGGCCCUCAAUAAUCCAUCAAUUAAUGCAAAAUGAGAAACAGUUCGACCAUCAGCUGCAACAAAACCUCUAGCCUGCCAAAUGACACCAAAAUCAUGAACCACUCCAAAGGCAUAUCUCAAAUCAGUAUAAAUAGUCACAUCUUGAUCUUUAAAAGCAAUACAAGCUUGUGUAAGAGCAAUCAACUCCGCCUGCGCUGAGACAAAAGGUAAAGAACCUACAGUUAUUACACUAUUAGGUAUUUGUACAACUGCAAAACCACAAAGGAAAAUAAACCAAUAACUGAUUUCAAAACUCUGACACAAAAUCUUGCUCAGCCCAGAAAUACACAGAACCAACCUACAUCAGUACCAGGUCUAUCAUGUUUAGUGUCCAAAUUAAGAGCCAUUUCUGUU
Non-coding RNA from Pelobates cultripes (western spadefoot toad), 979 nucleotides. The record is from the annotation of a GenBank genome assembly. NCBI's taxonomy places the organism in Eukaryota, Metazoa, Chordata, Amphibia, Anura, Pelobatidae.